RNAcentral lists this ribosomal RNA (402 nucleotides) under uncultured Colpodella. Its description in RNAcentral is "partial small subunit ribosomal RNA". It matches the Rfam family "Eukaryotic small subunit ribosomal RNA", at positions 30 to 432 of the family's 1831-position model. The record is from RNAcentral. Lineage: Eukaryota; Colpodellaceae.
GCUUGUCUCAAAGAUUAAGCCAUGCAUGUCUAAGUACAAGCCUCAGUAAGGUGAAACCGCGAAUGGCUCAUUAAAUCACACCUAAUCUACUGGAAAGUUACUAGUUACUUGGAUAACUGAGGUAAUUCUUGAGCUAAUACAUGCGUCAAGACCCGACUUUUUGGAAGGGUUGUAUUUAUUAGAUAAAGAACCAAUCCAUGCUUGCAUGGUUUUGUGGUGAUUCAUAAUAACUGAUCGAAUCGCAUGCCUUCGGGCGGCGAUGUAUCAUUCAAGUUUCUGACCUAUCAGCUUCCGACGGUAGGGUAUUGGCCUACCGUGGCAAUGACGGGUAACGGGGAAUUAGGGUUCGAUUCCGGAGAGGGAGCCUGAGAAACGGCUACCACAUCUAAGGAAGGCAGCAGG